This 510-nucleotide ribosomal RNA is filed under the name uncultured bacterium. RNAcentral describes it as "partial 16S ribosomal RNA". It matches the Rfam family "Bacterial small subunit ribosomal RNA", at positions 28 to 507 of the family's 1533-position model. The record is from RNAcentral.
GACGAACGCUGGCGGCGUGCUUAACACGUGCAAGUCGAACGAAGAGCGAUGGAAGCUUGCUUCUAUCAAUCUUAGUGGCGAACGGGUGAGUAACGCGUAAUCAACCUGCCCUUCAGAGGGGGACAACAGUUGGAAACGACUGCUAAUACCGCAUACGAUCUAAUCUCGGCAUCGAGGAUAGAUGAAAGGUGGCCUCUACAUGUAAGCUAUCACUGAAGGAGGGGAUUGCGUCUGAUUAGCUAGUUGGAGGGGUAACGGCCCACCAAGGCGAUGAUCAGUAGCCGGUCUGAGAAGAUGAACGGCCACAUUGGGACUGAGACACGGCCCAGACUCCUACGGGAGGCAGCAGUGGGGAAUCUUCCGCAAUGGACGAAAGUCUGACGGAGCAACGCCGCGUGAGUGAUGACGGCCUUCGGGUUGUAAAGCUCUGUUAAUCGGGACGAAAGGCCUUCUUGCGAACAGUUAGAAGGAUUGACGGUACCGGAAUAGAAAGCCACGGCUAACUACGUG